UGGGGAAUAUUGCACAAUGGGCGCAAGCCUGAUGCAGCCAUGCCGCGUGUGUGAAGAAGGCCUUCGGGUUGUAAAGCACUUUCAGCGGGGAGGAAGGCGAUAAGGUUAAUAACCUUGUCGAUUGACGUUACCCGCAGAAGAAGCACCGGCUAAAUCCGUGUCAGCAGCCGCGGUAAUACGGAGGGUGCAAGCGUUAAUAGGAAUUACUGGGCGUAACGCGCACGCAGGCGGUCUGUCAAGUCGGAUGUGAAAUCCCCGGGCUCAACCUGGGAACUGCAUUCGAAACUGGCAGGCUAGAGUCUUGUAGAGGAGGGUAGAAUUCCAGGUGUGGCGGUGAAAUGCGUAGAGAUCUGGAGGAAUACCGGUGGCGAAGGCGGCCCCCUGGACAAAGACUGACGCUCAGGUGCGAAAGCGUGGGGAGCAAACAGG
RNAcentral lists this ribosomal RNA (429 nucleotides) under Chloroflexota bacterium. RNAcentral's name for it is "Chloroflexi bacterium partial 16S ribosomal RNA". It matches the Rfam family "Bacterial small subunit ribosomal RNA", at positions 355 to 776 of the family's 1533-position model. Lineage: Bacteria; Bacillati; Chloroflexota. The record is from RNAcentral.